CUACGGGCUGCUCCAGUGAGGAAUAUUGGUCAAUGGACGCAAGUCUGAACCAGCCAUGCCGCGUGAAGGAUGAAGGCCUUAUGGGUUGUAAACUUCUUUUAUACGGGAAUAAACUUAGCUAUGUAUAGCUAACUGCAGGUACCGUAAGAAUAAGCACCGGCUAACUCCGUGCCAGCAGCCGCGGUAAUACGGAGGGUGCAAGCAUUAUCCGGAUUUAUUGGGUUUAAAGGGUCCGCAGGCGGACUAAUAAGUCAGUGGUGAAAUCUCUCGGCUCAACCGAGAAACUGCCAUUGAUACUGUUAGUCUAGAGUGUAGUUGGCGUAGGCGGAAUGUAUCAUGUAGCGGUGAAAUGCUUAGAUAUGAUACAGAACACCGAUCGCGAAGGCAGCUUACGGAACUACAACUGACGCUCAGGGACGAAAGCGUGGGGAGCGAACAGGAUUAGAUACCCGAGAAGUC
RNAcentral lists this ribosomal RNA (459 nucleotides) under uncultured bacterium. Its description in RNAcentral is "partial 16S ribosomal RNA". It matches the Rfam family "Bacterial small subunit ribosomal RNA", at positions 339 to 795 of the family's 1533-position model. The record is from RNAcentral.